This 450-nucleotide ribosomal RNA is filed under the name uncultured bacterium. Its description in RNAcentral is "bacterial SSU rRNA". It matches the Rfam family "Bacterial small subunit ribosomal RNA", at positions 354 to 796 of the family's 1533-position model. The record is from RNAcentral.
GUGGGGAAUUUUGGACAAUGGGCGCAAGCCUGAUCCAGCAAUGCCGCGUGCAGGAAGAAGGCCUUCGGGUUGUAAACUGCUUUUGUACGGAACGAAACGGUCCUGGUUAAUACCUGGGGCUAAUGACGGUACCGUAAGAAUAAGCACCGGCUAACUACGUGCCAGCAGCCGCGGUAAUACGUAGGGUGCAAGCGUUAAUCGGAAUUACUGGGCGUAAAGCGUGCGCAGGCGGUUUUGUAAGACAGGCGUGAAAUCCCCGGGCUCAACCUGGGAAUUGCGCUUGUGACUGCAAGGCUGGAGUGCGGCAGAGGGGGAUGGAAUUCCGCGUGUAGCAGUGAAAUGCGUAGAUAUGCGGAGGAACACCGAUGGCGAAGGCAAUCCCCUGGGCCUGCACUGACGCUCAUGCACGAAAGCGUGGGGAGCAAACAGGAUUAGAUACCCCAGUAGUCC